CCUACGGGAGGCAGCAGUGAGGAAUAUUGGUCAAUGGACGAGAGUCUGAACCAGCCAAGUAGCGUGAAGGAUGACUGCCCUAUGGGUUGUAAACUUCUUUUAUAAAGGAAUAAAACGAGGCACGUGUGCCUUUUUGCAUGUACUUUAUGAAUAAGGAUCGGCUAACUCCGUGCCAGCAGCCGCGGUAAUACGGAGGAUCCGAGCGUUAUCCGGAUUUAUUGGGUUUAAAGGGAGCGUAGAUGGGUUGUUAAGUCAGUUGUGAAAGUUUGCGGCUCAACCGUAAAAUUGCAAUUGAUACUGGCAGUCGUGAGUACAGUUGAGGUAGGCGGAAUUCGUGGUGUAGCGGUGAAAUGCUUAGAUAUCACGAAGAACCCUGAUUGCGAAGGCAGCUUACUAAACUGUGACUGACAUUGAUGCUCGAAAGUGUGGGUAUCAAACAGGAUUAGAUACCCUGGUAGUC
This 460-nucleotide ribosomal RNA is filed under the name uncultured bacterium. Its description in RNAcentral is "partial 16S ribosomal RNA". It matches the Rfam family "Bacterial small subunit ribosomal RNA", at positions 338 to 795 of the family's 1533-position model. The record is from RNAcentral.